UACGUAGGGUCCGAGCGUUGUCCGGAAUUACUGGGCGUAAAGAGCUCGUAGGUGGUUUGUCGCGUUGUUCGUGAAAACUCACAGCUUAACUGUGGGCGUGCGGGCGAUACGGGCAGACUGGAGUACUGCAGGGGAGACUGGAAUUCCUGGUGUGGCGGUGGAAUGCGCAGAUAUCAGGAGGAACACCGGUGGCGAAGGCGGGUCUCUGGGCAGUAACUGACGCUGAGGAGCGAAAGCGUGGGGAGCGAACAGG
RNAcentral lists this ribosomal RNA (253 nucleotides) under uncultured bacterium. RNAcentral's name for it is "partial 16S ribosomal RNA". It matches the Rfam family "Bacterial small subunit ribosomal RNA", at positions 524 to 776 of the family's 1533-position model. The record is from RNAcentral.